ACAAAGUUGUGGUUAACAGAAAUGCACUGCGAAAACGAUCUCUCACUUUGUAAAUGUCUCGAGUCCCAAAUCAGUAUUUAUUUAGGGACCCGAAGGCUGAAAACUAAGUGGUUAACUUGGGCAAUCAAAACUAUGUUGGAGUAAAAUCAGUCCGGAUAAUUUUUAAAUUUCGAUAAAAUACAUUGACAAUUCGCAAUGAAAUUUGAAUUUUUUCAAAUUUUGAAUCCAGCGUUCAACAUAGCAUUCGAAACUAAGCGACGGGGGAUAGCUUCAUCAAAUAAUUAACGGCUAUGAAGAUAAAUUGAUAGAAACUUUAAAUUGAAAUAACAUGGCUGAUAAGAGAGAAGAACCUCAUAUCACUAUUGAUCUAUUUGAUACACUAUAUAUUUUACAUGCAACUAAAAACGAAGAAGGCAAUUAUACAUGCAAAAUAGAUAGUGUCAAAGCUCGAGAAUAUUCCAUUAAAGUGGUGUCAAUGGCUAAAAUGUUGAAUCAAGAUUUUAUUCGCUAUUCAAUCUAUUUGGGAUUUAUACUAUCAUUAACGUUCACAUGCUACUGCGCUGGUUUGUGUGUAGCUUGGCACCGAAGAACAUCUUUUGCAGAUCCGAUGAAUCUCAACUAUGGAAAAAAGGUUCAUAAUGGUGGUAAUAAUUGUGAACGUGAAACACUUUUAAACAAAUAAUAAUAUUAAUAAAAAAAAAGGACGUGAUAGUUUUUUUUUAUAUUUGUAUCGCACAUUAUAGCAUUUAAAGUGUUUAUUAGCGAAAGAAAAUAUGACGUACAUUUUCAACCAGUCUGUCGAAUGUACUUUCAAAAUUAGUUGGUACAAAAAGAACAGUUAACAGCCCUACUGACUAUAUUUUAUAGACUCUUUGGAAGGAUGAAAUUUUACUUCUUGG
This is a long non-coding RNA of Ostrinia nubilalis (European corn borer), 899 nucleotides long. RefSeq lists it as uncharacterized. The transcript is spliced from 3 exons. The record is from RefSeq and is a predicted model, not a curated record. Lineage: Eukaryota; Metazoa; Arthropoda; Insecta; Lepidoptera; Crambidae.